AACAAACGCUGGCGGCGUGCCUAACACAUGCAAGUCGUACGAGAAAGGGUCCUUCGGGCCUGAGUAAAGUGGCGCACGGGUGAGUAACGCGUGGAUAAUCUGCCCCUCAGUUGGGAAUAACUCAUCGAAAGGUGGGCUAAUACCGAAUAACGCUGUGAGACUUUGGUCGAUCAGCCAAAGAUGGCCUCUGCUUGCAUGCUAUCGCUGAAGGAUGAGUCCCGCGUACCAUUAGCUAGUUGGUAGGGUAAUGGCCUACCAAGGCGACGAUGGUUAGCUGGUCUGAGAGGAUGAUCAGCCACACUGGAACUGAGACACGGUCCAGACUCCUACGGGUGGCUG
RNAcentral lists this ribosomal RNA (339 nucleotides) under uncultured Pseudomonadota bacterium. Its description in RNAcentral is "bacterial SSU rRNA". It matches the Rfam family "Bacterial small subunit ribosomal RNA", at positions 29 to 351 of the family's 1533-position model. The record is from RNAcentral. Lineage: Bacteria; Pseudomonadati; Pseudomonadota.